GAUGAACGCUGGCGGCGUGCCUAAUACAUGCAAGUCGAGCGAACAGACGAGGAGCUUGCUCCUUUGACGUUAGCGGCGGACGGGUGAGUAACACGUGGGUAACCUACCUAUAAGACUGGGAUAACUUCGGGAAACCGGAGCUAAUACCGGAUAAUAUUUCGAACCGCAUGGUUCGAUAGUGAAAGAUGGCUUUGCUAUCACUUAUAGAUGGACCUGCGCCGUAUUAGCUAGUUGGUAAGGUAACGGCUUACCAAGGCAACGAUACGUAGCCGACCUGAGAGGGUGAUCGGCCACACUGGAACUGAGACACGGUCCAGACUCCUACGGGAGGCAGCAGUAGGGAAUCUUCCGCAAUGGGCGAAAGCCUGACGGAGCAACGCCGCGUGAGUGAUGAAGGUCUUCGGAUCGUAAAACUCUGUUAUUAGGGAGGAACAAACGUGUAAGUAACUGUGCACGUCUUGACGGUACCUAAUCAGAAAGCCACGGCUAACUACGUG
Molecule: ribosomal RNA, 497 nt
Filed under: uncultured bacterium
Lineage: Bacteria
Description: partial 16S ribosomal RNA
Rfam family: Bacterial small subunit ribosomal RNA
Source: RNAcentral